UAAUACGGGGGGGGCAAGCGUUGUUCGGAAUUACUGGGCGUAAAGGGCGUGUAGGCGGCCAACUAAGUCCGACGUGAAAUCCCCAGGCUUAACCUGGGAACUGCGUCGGAUACUGGAUGGCUUGAAUCCGGGAGAGGGAUGCAGAAUUCCAGGUGUAGCGGUGAAAUGCGUAGAUAUCUGGAGGAAUACCGGUGGCGAAGGCGGUAUCCUGGACCGGCAUUGACGCUGAAGCGCGAAAGCUAGGGGAGCAAACGGGAUUAGAUACCCCGGUAGUCCUAGCCCUAAACGAUGAAUGCUUGGUGUGGCGGGUAUCGAUCCCUGCCGUGCCGAAGCUAACGCAUUAAGCAUUCCGCCUGGGGAGUACGGUCGCAAGGC
Molecule: ribosomal RNA, 375 nt
Filed under: uncultured bacterium
Lineage: Bacteria
Description: bacterial SSU rRNA
Rfam family: Bacterial small subunit ribosomal RNA
Source: RNAcentral